RNAcentral lists this small RNA (266 nucleotides) under Drosophila virilis. RNAcentral's name for it is "GJ25677". Lineage: Eukaryota; Metazoa; Arthropoda; Insecta; Diptera; Drosophilidae. The record is from RNAcentral.
CGUCAAGCCAUUAUUUAUACUUUCGGACUCGCGAACAUUUUCGGCAUUUUAAACCAGAAUAUCUUUUUCUGUUGGCGACCUUCGUACCGGAGACCAAAAAAAAAAACGGCCAGAAAUUAUUGCCAGUCAACAAAGGAAAAUAAAACAAGGGGAGAAAUAUAAACAUAAACACAAUAAUCUUUAGGCCCUUUCCUUUCCGGUUCGCACUUUACUUAAUAAAAAUAAAGGAGUACAAUGGGAAGUCCGCGUCUGAAUCUGCCGUUUAC